Molecule: non-coding RNA, 1201 nt
Organism: Penaeus vannamei (Pacific white shrimp)
Lineage: Eukaryota; Metazoa; Arthropoda; Malacostraca; Decapoda; Penaeidae
Source: RefSeq, a predicted model, not a curated record
GCUCAGUAUGAAAACGUAGCGAGCAUCACUAGCCAGUGCGGGAAUCCAAGAUGACAUAUCCCUACCUGCUGGCUGUGUUGGCGUGGGUGGCAGCGGGCACCGUAGCCAGUGGCACUCCGCGAAUCCUGGAGGCUUCUUUCGUCAGCCAAGUCAACAGUGCCAGUGCCAGCGCUUUCACGGAGGUACUGGCAACCCAUUCUUCGGCGACGUCCCCUAGUAAGAGGAAAUUUCGGAUUCUGCAUCGGAACGAGACGCGCCCCACACCUACAAGCGUGGUGCCCCUGAGCCAAGCGACCUGUCUCUCGUUGGCAGUGCCAGCCCAGGGCCAGGCGAGGUAAAAGUGGUCAAACGCUCAGCUCAGUCUCAGCCCUUAGUUCGUUAUCUGCCACAGAAUCUUGUUACCGUGCUGGAGAGAGCGUGUACAUCUACCUCCACGGUCACUGAAACCGGGAUUCACCAUAGUUGUUGCAGGUUGUCGCUGUGAAGCCUGUGACUACGUAGCCGGCCAAGAUCCCUGUAGGUGCCUCCCAGUGGCUGGAUGUGGCAUAGAGCUGUAAUAGAUGUGUAGUUUUAUGUUUGUAGGUAGGCCUCUACAUACACACCUGUAUGUGUUUCAGGGCCGGGAAAAGUGUUAAUUUAUUGUUAAAAAAUAUAGUGCAAAUAAAGAUCAGGCCAUAAUAUACAUAAUAAACAUACAACCUUUAUGUUAUAGAUAUGAAGACUGCCAUACACAUAUCAUCAAAACAAUACUGUAAUUCCAAUGAUUUUCUUUUGACAUUACUAGUACUGAAGUUGACCCUGGAAGCUAAAUCAACUUACCUCCUGUCACCUGGCCUCAUGACUUGGUUUCACUGCAAUGUCACUCCCUCGGGCUUGCUGCAUCUCAGCUGUUUUCAGUCAGGCUUUGAGGAUCCAACACCAUAUCGAUAUUUAUUAACCUGCUGUGGUGAUCGCAGACUGUAAGUACUCAUUGCUGCUACACUCAUGAAAAGAAAGAAAGAAAAAAAGAAAAAAAAGAGGAAAGAAUAAAUAACAAAAGACACACACACACGCACACAUCCACAUAUACACCAUUUAUAUUGGUAUUGUUUGUCUUCUCGGCAGUGUCCUUGCGGGUGUACACUAAUUAUCCGUCCCUUUCUAAUUACUGGCCAUCCUUGUAUAUUUAAUUUCUUUGUAAUAAUAAUCACUGUAUGAUAAC